UACGUAGGGGGCAAGCGUUGUCCGGAUUUAUUGGGCGUAAAGAGCGUGUAGGCGGCCAUACAGGUCAGCUGUGAAAACUCGAGGCUCAACCUCGAGACGUCGGUUGAAACCGUAUGGCUAGAGUCCGGAAGAGGAGAGUGGAAUUCCCGGUGUAGCGGUGAAAUGCGCAGAUAUCGGGAAGAACACCUAUGGCGAAGGCAGCUCUCUGGGACGGCACUGACGCUGAGACGCGAAAGCGUGGGGAGCAAACAGG
This 253-nucleotide ribosomal RNA is filed under the name uncultured bacterium. Its description in RNAcentral is "partial 16S ribosomal RNA". It matches the Rfam family "Bacterial small subunit ribosomal RNA", at positions 524 to 776 of the family's 1533-position model. The record is from RNAcentral.